This 253-nucleotide ribosomal RNA is filed under the name uncultured bacterium. Its description in RNAcentral is "partial 16S ribosomal RNA". It matches the Rfam family "Bacterial small subunit ribosomal RNA", at positions 524 to 776 of the family's 1533-position model. The record is from RNAcentral.
CACGGACCGCACGAACGUUAUUCGGUAUCACUGGGCUUAAAGGGUGCGUAGGCGGCCUUGCAAGUUGGGUGUGAAAGCCCUCGGCUCAACCGAGGAAUUGCGCCCAAAACUGCCGGGCUCGAGAGAGACAGAGGUAAGCGGAACUAAUGGUGGAGCGGUGAAAUGCGUUGAUAUCAUUAGGAACACCGGUGGCGAAGGCGGCUUACUGGGUCUUUUCUGACGCUGAGGCACGAAAGCCAGGGGAGCGAACGGG